AUGGAUGUUAAUGGGCAGAUAUGUCAACAAUCAGUUGAAUAUGACUGGAAAUCGAAAUAUUAUGACUAGUGUAUGAUGAUUGGGAAUAAUGUACACGAAGGAAGUCUACUGCAUCUUUGGUGUCUAAAGAAGCAGUUGUACAUGCGAAACAACAAAUAACCACGUCGAAAUUGUAUUUGGAAAAGCAGUGGCAGACAGCAAAGAGUAA
Molecule: long non-coding RNA, 208 nt
Filed under: Capsicum annuum
Lineage: Eukaryota; Viridiplantae; Streptophyta; Magnoliopsida; Solanales; Solanaceae
Description: long non-coding RNA (CANN_LNC016035)
Source: RNAcentral